This 253-nucleotide ribosomal RNA is filed under the name uncultured bacterium. RNAcentral describes it as "partial 16S ribosomal RNA". It matches the Rfam family "Bacterial small subunit ribosomal RNA", at positions 524 to 776 of the family's 1533-position model. The record is from RNAcentral.
CACGUAGGGUCCGAGCGUUGUCCGGAGUUACUGGGCGUAAAGCGCGCGCAGGCGGCGGUGCUGGCCCGGCGUGAAAGCCCCCGGCUCAACCGGGGAGGGUCGUCGGGGACCGCACCGCUUGAGGGCGGUAGGGGCUGGUGGAAUGCCUGGUGUAGUGGUGAAAUGCGUAGAGAUCAGGCGGAACACCCGUGGCGAAGGCGGCCAGCUGGGCCGUCCCUGACGCUGAGGCGCGAAAGCCAGGGGAGCAAACGGG